UUUCACUUUGCGUGGAAGCAUGUGCACGGGACAGAGCAUUGCAGUUGUGAAGGAUGACGGCGUGUUGUGACAUUGUGAACCAUCUUGUCAAAGUGAUGUUGAAUGCAUUUGGCGUGGACUUUGAUGGUGACGGUUUCGCUCGUAAGUGCCCCAACUCAGGCGGAUUUCUUAUGGGGAAAGGAAAGCUCAAUAUUCCACUUUCUUUCUCAUAUUGUACGAAAGCGCAAGCAACCGCAGUUCUCAGGCCCUUGACAUGUUUAAGGCGAGAAAUGAAAAACAAGACAUCAAAAAGCCUUCCGAUGCCUCGAAAAAUAGGACGAAUGGAUUAUUGUGAAGCCAUUGGCGCCGUAAACUGCGAUGACGACGGCAUGGAACCUAUUGAGAACCUCGGAAUCGAAGUAAGCAGGUGUAUCAGCUACAGGCAC
This is a long non-coding RNA of Rhipicephalus sanguineus (brown dog tick), 425 nucleotides long. RefSeq lists it as uncharacterized. The transcript is spliced from 4 exons. NCBI's taxonomy places the organism in Eukaryota, Metazoa, Arthropoda, Arachnida, Ixodida, Ixodidae. The record is from RefSeq and is a predicted model, not a curated record.